UUUCUUACUUAGGUAAAACAUAAAUAAGCAAUUGAAGACCUUAGCAUAGGUUUGAAAAGUAUUCUCCCUUAUGGGAUAUUACAGACAUAAGCAAAUUGAAUAAAAGAGUUUCAUCAGAGUUAUGCAGCGAGAUACGUUACUAUAUGUGUGAAGACAUAUAGUAGGGAGUUCAGUUACUUAUAGAGUCAAAGCGUAUAAAGAUAAAUAUGAGACAUAGGAAAGACACGGCCAACUGACAAUUCCAACAGCCUUCACCCAUCCUCACGCCAAGUUAAACCUGCACAUUUAGAAAUAUGCAGGGCUGAGUACCAAAAAGCACUCAGUGGACUCAUGCCGGAAAAUAAUUGUAAUGUUGCUCUUAGAGCUAUAUGUCAACCUUGCCCUUUUCAAUGCAUCAACAGGAUUAAGUGAGAUUAAAAAUACAUGUUCAUGUUUUUCUGUCAUAAACUCAUUUGCAUCAUCAUAAUAAUAUCAUUAGUCUGCAGACAAUAUAUAUUCAGGGUAUGUGCCAACUAUGAAAACUCAUAUAUCAUAUACUCCCUCCGUCCGCCAAGAUUAUGGCAAUUUGCUUGGGCACGAGAUUUAAUAAAAUUGGGGAUGAUUUUGAUGUAGUGGAGAAAGGGUCCCACCACUUUAUGGGAUGAGUGGUUGAGAUUGAAUUUUGAGUAGUUUUUUUGUAAAUAAAUAGUGUUAGUAAGGAUAAAAUAUUAAAGAGGAUGGUGGGACCAUUGCCUUAAAAGGAAAGUGACAUAAUCUUGGCGGACGCCCGAUAUAGUAAUUGUGACAUAAUUUUGGCGGACGGAGGGAGUUUAAAUUAGGAGAAGAGAAGGAAGCCUCCUUCAAAUCACCGUGAUCGGCCGACUAGAGACGACUCACGAUCACCUCUGCGCACAAAACCUUUACUGUCAUAUAAAUCAGUCAAAGACCGAUAUCUUGCAUCGUGAUCAUAUUCAUGUCUUUCAUAGUGGUAACAUACCAUAUUUCAUUCUUAUCAAUAAUAAAUAUGGCAAGAUGACGAUUUUCAUAAUACUUCAACAUGCUUCAUUUUCAUAAGAAUUGCAUUUGAACUCAUUAUCAUGGUAGCUUGCCAUAAUAGAGUUAGAAUAAAGCCCACCUGUCUCAAGGGUCGAUGACGUAGAGCUUAGAGUCGUACUAACGCCGGCCGUCACUCGAACCUUUGGUGGCGCACGUGGUUUAGAUUGCCAUGUGACAAAAUAAACUCUAGUGAGAAAUUCAUCUAACUAAUAUCUAAUACUUAUACUUUCAUCAUAUGCUUAAUCUCAUUUUAUAACUUCUCUACUAUUUACCCAAUUGGACCUCCCAAGUAAUUGGAUAUCUUAUCCAAUUAAAAGACUCUCAAUCCUAUAGGUAAAUAACACUCAAUUAAUUCACAUAGUCAUUCAUACUUCAAAUUAAUCAAUUAUUCCACAUAGUACAUUUUCGCAAAUUAUCUCAAUAGUAAAAUGACUUAAAAGUCACUCUAUGAAACUUGAAAUCUUUUUCCCUUGUAAGUAAAUUCUCAAAUAUUCAUGUAAGCUAUGGAAUAUAUAUAUAAAAGAGUUUUUCCACUCAAACAUUUUUUUCAAACCUUUAAAAGUCCAAACAAUCAUUUCCUAUAAGAAUUGUGACAAUUAAAUCUCAUAAAUCCUUUUUGAAUAUAUUCUAUAUUUUUUUAUAUAUAUAUAUAUAUAUAUAUAUUCCAGUAGCAUUUUCAUGAAAUAAUAUGGUGUAUAUCUUCACCAAAACUUUAAAAUUCUCAGUACAAUAUCAAAAGUAAGAAAUUUCGAACACCUACAACUUACUACUUCUGCACUGUCUCGUCUUUAAAGAAUAAACUGUUUCAUCUCAGAACUCCUGGAUUCAAGACUUAUACUGUUUGAAACCUCUUUGAGUCUAAUUUUAUUUUUAAAAAAAUUAGGUUGAAAAACUCCAAGUGGUUUAAGAGGUAUGGAUGUUUUCCCACAGUCUACCAGAUUCGGUAGUUUCGGACAAUUAGAAGUUAAGAUUUUUGAAAAAUAGUAAACGUUAUCGAAAUGGCUUAAAAUUUGGUGUACAUAUGUAUAACACAUGUAUAUUUCUACCAUAAAAAUUUGGGAGGCUGAAUGUUUUUGAAAGCUACUGAAAAGUGUGACUCCAGUGACUGCCCUUCCAAAUUUUCGAUAGAAUUUCGCAGUAGAAGUUUUAUAAUUUAAAAAGGUAGUAAACAAAGUCCAAAUGACUUGAAUUUUACCAGAAUUCUCAAGACACAUAAAGUUACACACUAUAAAAGUUUCAAGAUUUUUGGAAAAGGGGAUUCUCUUCGACUCAUCAGUCCAGAACGUAGGAAAAAUUUUCGUGGUGGUUGAAAUUAUAACUUUUACACAUAUGAUCAUAGAUCUUCAAUUUCACCACCAUUCUCAUGCAUUUUCAUACUAAGAACUCAUCAUGCUUCAAAUGUAUACAUGUUUAUCAUCUUAUACAUACAUAUACACAUAUCAUAAGAUGAGGAUAUGAGCUUACUUCCAACAAAAUCAAAGAAGGUGGAGUAGAGGAUGGUGCUUAGGAUUUUCUUGAAGCUUGAGCUUGAAGAUGAACACUUUUAGAAACCUUUGCUCUUACUAUAUUUGGUGGAACAAAAAGAAAAUGUGGUGAAGUGAAGAGGGGGAGGGGCAGCCGAAACUUAUGAAGAAAGAAGGGAAGCUUGUCUUGAUGAGAGGUGAUGGGAUGGUGUGAUCUUGUCACAUAAAUGCAUGAUCUUGUAGAGAUCAUGCUUGAUGAAGAUCUAUGGAGAUUUAGGCAAUAGGGAGGUGAAAGAGGUGAGAGCACCAUGAGGUAAGGGAAGAAGGAGGGUGAGAAGAGAGAAUAAGAGAAGAAAGAAGAGAGAGAUGAGAGAGAUCGAGAGUUGAGG
RNAcentral lists this long non-coding RNA (2887 nucleotides) under Salvia miltiorrhiza (redroot sage). RNAcentral describes it as "long non-coding RNA (SMIL_LNC007164)". Lineage: Eukaryota; Viridiplantae; Streptophyta; Magnoliopsida; Lamiales; Lamiaceae. The record is from RNAcentral.